CAAACAGAACCUGGGGAGUCAAACACCACCUGGGGAGUCAAACAGCACCCGCGUGUCUGAAACACAACACUGUGAUGGCUGUAAGAGCUAGUGUCAGAUAAACACGCCAGUCUUCUGAAGCACAACACUGUGAUGGCUGUAAGAGCUAGUGUCAGGUAAACACGCCCGUCUUCUGAAGCACAACACUGUGAUGGCUGUAAGAGCUAGUGUCAGGUAAACACGCCCGUCUUCUGAAGCACAACACUGUGAUGGCUGUAAGAGCUAGUGUCAGGUAAACACGCCCGUCUUCUGAAGCACAACACUGUGAUGGCUGUAAGAGCUAGUGUCAGGUAAACACGCCCGUCUUCUGAAGCACAACACUGUGAUGGCUGUAAGAGCUAGUGUCAGGUAAACACGCCCGUCUUCUGAAGCACAACACUGUGAUGGCUGUAAGAGCUAGUGUCAGGUAAACACGCCCGUCUUCUGAAGCACAACACUGUGAUGGCUGUAAGAGCUAGUGUCAGGUAAACACGCCCGUCUUCUGAAGCACAACACUGUGAUGGCUGUAAGAGCUAGUGUCAGGUAAACACGCCCGUCUUCUGAAGCACAACACUGUGAUGGCUGUAAGAGCUAGUCAGGUAAACACGCCAUUCUUUUCCCUUUUGAACCAUAAUUUAGUUGUUUUCCUCUUUCCGCUGAGAGCUGAGGGCUUUGCAAUGAGAGUUGAUGGAUUUCAAAUACCUCUCCUUUUGUUGAAACCUCUUAAACAUUGAG
This is a long non-coding RNA of Oncorhynchus keta (chum salmon), 753 nucleotides long. RefSeq lists it as uncharacterized. Lineage: Eukaryota; Metazoa; Chordata; Actinopteri; Salmoniformes; Salmonidae. The record is from RefSeq and is a predicted model, not a curated record. The transcript has 5 exons.